AGCUGGAAUAGUGCUCGAUUCCAUAACACAAUGUCAUGGGUUAUCAAUGACAGCCAAUAAGAAGGCCACUCUUUGCCGUUCUCAUUCUCCUAACUACCAUCAUAAAUGGGCAAGUGAGAAACUCAGCUAAGCGAAGGCUUUGUUUUCUUCUUUGCUACUCGUUACCUCUAUAUAUACCAUUUCAUGGUGGCCUUUGAAAUUGUUUUGCAAGGGCUUCAUAUAAGAAAGAAGCAAUGGAAGGUGCAGCACCAAAUCAAAAGAUGUUAUGCUGUGAUCGUGUCCGAAAACGCAAGGAGGAGAAAGGCUUCUUCUCUGCUUGUUUGUUUGUUUUGUUCUGCUGCUGUUGCUGCUAUGGUGGCUGCUGCUGUUGCUGCUAUGGUGGCUGCUGCUGUGGCCCUUAGAUUUCUUGCCAUUGAGUGGGAUCAGUAGAAAUAAAUCCCGGAUGAUAGUUAUGAUGCGAUUGUAAAUAAAUUCAUUCGAGUUAAUAAAAUCAUGAUUGUUGUUACUUGCA
This is a long non-coding RNA of Rosa chinensis, 511 nucleotides long. RefSeq lists it as uncharacterized. The record is from RefSeq and is a predicted model, not a curated record. Lineage: Eukaryota; Viridiplantae; Streptophyta; Magnoliopsida; Rosales; Rosaceae. The transcript is spliced from 2 exons.